GAAUCUAUGAAUUUUACAGCUUUUAGCGACACAAUGAUCCAGCCGGGAAGGGGGGAGGUCCAGUCCUCCUGUUUUGGCGGGAGGAGGACGCCGUGAGAAGAGUUGAUCAAGAUAUGAGGACCUUCCUCAAAACCAGUGUUUUUAACCAGGUUCACUGCAACAAAAGUUAUAGAUAUGGAAUAAAUUAAGCCAGUGGGCCUUGGAGGGAAAAGCUCCUUGAUGGCAACGGCAUCCAAAAGAGGGCCGCAGGCAGGAUCUUCUUGCAUGCCAGGGUUGUAGAAACUGAGAUUGACAGAAUUGGAGUAGGCCCUAAAUCCCCAAGCAUAGGUGUCGCCGCCGUUGCUGCUGUAGAGCGUCUGCAAUGGGAGGUCUCCCGUUUGGCCCGGCACCGACACCCUCAGCACCUCAUCUUGUGCGCAGGUUCUUGACGCACCGAAUGUGAGUGCAUAGAGCGACCCGUUCCUCACGCGGACCGUCUGGGAUAUGGAUGCCCCACUGCCGAGGCGAAUGGCAUGGACGCCGUGCGCCACAGCGUAGUACAUCCCUCCGGGCUGAGGGCCGCCGGAGAUGUACUCCACCGUUCCGUUGAUUUCCCAUUUGGGCAGUGCGUUCUUACCUCGGAGCACUGUUUCGUUUAUGUUUUGGGCAUAUGGUUGUUCUUCAAAAUUCCCAUUGGGUAGGAGCCCUGGUGGAAAUGAUGUUAUAGUGCAUUAGUCAGUAUUAAGUUAUUAACUAGAAAAGAAAUGUAUAGGCCCAAAUCUAUCGCUCUCUCUUGAAUCAGAAUGUUAAUGUUAACUACCGACAAAAAAAAAACUAAACAAGCAGAAAUGGUAGUUAUACCUUCCAAAGGAGGAGUAGGUGGUGCAAUGGCUGAAACAGCACAGACAAAGUACACAGAGAGCAGAAAACAUAUCUUCAUAGCCAUUUGUGUGUGUGUGUAAGUGUGUGAUGUGUGUUUUGUUGUUUAAGAGGGAGGAGGUUCUUAGAUGAAGGUAAUGAUGAGCAUUAGAGCAUCAUUGCUAGCUAUAUUUAUAUAGCAUAAUGUGCGUGUGUGUGAGAGAGGGACAAGAAGAAGAAGAAGUGCAGGUGGAUAACUCCCUUUGUCUUUUUGUCCUAAACACUUUCUUUAUCUUGAUAUUAGGACAUCAGCUUUCUCCUUAAUCCAUAGAAUCAUUCCAUUCAUGUUAUCACGUGUCUUUAAAUUUUUAAAAUAUUUUGCUUUCUUUGAUGAAUUGAACAGUCGG
Molecule: long non-coding RNA, 1244 nt
Organism: Salvia miltiorrhiza (redroot sage)
Lineage: Eukaryota; Viridiplantae; Streptophyta; Magnoliopsida; Lamiales; Lamiaceae
Exons: 2
Source: RefSeq, a predicted model, not a curated record